RNAcentral lists this long non-coding RNA (219 nucleotides) under Nicotiana benthamiana. RNAcentral describes it as "long non-coding RNA (NBEN_LNC037258)". The record is from RNAcentral. Lineage: Eukaryota; Viridiplantae; Streptophyta; Magnoliopsida; Solanales; Solanaceae.
UUUUUUCAUCCUUUUUUCAUUCUUUUCUUUCUUUCCUUCCGGAAUGUUUGCUUGCUUUUUAUGCUUUUAUUCAUUUCCAAACUGUAUCUUUCUGGAAUUCAUGCCAGAAUAUUUGAGAGAACAUACAUAAGUACAUAUUAUUGGAUCAAUUUCCAAGAGCAUAGCCUUCACUUAGAAAAUGAUGAUUGGAUCAGUGCGUCUCAUCCUACAAGAAUUGCG